This 1346-nucleotide ribosomal RNA is filed under the name uncultured bacterium. RNAcentral's name for it is "bacterial SSU rRNA". It matches the Rfam family "Bacterial small subunit ribosomal RNA", at positions 28 to 1381 of the family's 1533-position model. The record is from RNAcentral.
GACGAACGCUGGCGGCGUGCUUAACACAUGCAAGUCGAACGGAAAGGCCCUGCUUUUGUGGGGUGCUCGAGUGGCGAACGGGUGAGUAACACGUGAGUAACCUGCCCUUGACUUUGGGAUAACUUCAGGAAACUGGGGCUAAUACCGGAUAGGAGCUCCUGCUGCAUGGUGGGGGUUGGAAAGUUUCGGCGGUUGGGGAUGGACUCGCGGCUUAUCAGCUUGUUGGUGGGGUAGUGGCUUACCAAGGCUUUGACGGGUAGCCGGCCUGAGAGGGUGACCGGCCACAUUGGGACUGAGAUACGGCCCAGACUCCUACGGGAGGCAGCAGUGGGGAAUAUUGCACAAUGGGCGGAAGCCUGAUGCAGCAACGCCGCGUGCGGGAUGACGGCCUUCGGGUUGUAAACCGCUUUCGCCUGUGACGAAGCGUGAGUGACGGUAAUGGGUAAAGAAGCACCGGCUAACUACGUGCCAGCAGCCGCGGUGAUACGUAGGGUGCGAGCGUUGUCCGGAUUUAUUGGGCGUAAAGGGCUCGUAGGUGGUUGAUCGCGUCGGAAGUGUAAUCUUGGGGCUUAACCCUGAGCGUGCUUUCGAUACGGGUUGACUUGAGGAAGGUAGGGGAGAAUGGAAUUCCUGGUGGAGCGGUGGAAUGCGCAGAUAUCAGGAGGAACACCAGUGGCGAAGGCGGUUCUCUGGGCCUUUCCUGACGCUGAGGAGCGAAAGCGUGGGGAGCGAACAGGCUUAGAUACCCUGGUAGUCCACGCUGUAAACGGUGGGUACUAGGUGUGGGGUCCAUUCCACGGGUUCCGUGCCGUAGCUAACGCUUUAAGUACCCCGCCUGGGGAGUACGGCCGCAAGGCUAAAACUCAAAGGAAUUGACGGGGCCCCGCACAAGCGGCGGAGCAUGCGGAUUAAUUCGAUGCAACGCGUAGAACCUUACCUGGGUUUGACAUGGAUCGGGAGUGCUCAGAGAUGGGUGUGCCUCUUUUGGGGUCGGUUCACAGGUGGUGCAUGCCUGUCGUCAGCUCGUAUCGUGAGAUGUUGGGUUAAGUCCCGCGACGAGCGCAACCCUUGUUCACUGUUGCCAGCACGUUAUGGUGGGGACUCAGUGGAGACCGCCGGGGUCAACUCGGAGGAAGGUGGGGAUGACGUCAAGUCCUCAUGCCCCUUAUGUCCAGGGCUUCACGCAUGCUACAAUGGCUGGUACAGAGAGUGGCGAGCCUGUGAGGGUGAGCGAAUCUCGGAAAGCCGGUCUCAGUUCGGAUUGGGGUCUGCAACUCGACCUCAUGAAGUCGGAGUCGCUAGUAAUCGCAGAUCAGCAACGCUGCGGUGAAUACGUUCCCGGGGCC